GAUGAACGCUGGCGGCGUGCCUAAUACAUGCAAGUCGAGCGGACGGACGAGAAGCUUGCGGCGCUGAUGUUAGCGGAAGGCGGGUGAGAAACACGUGUAUCACCUACCUAUAAGACUGGGAACACUUCGGGAAACCGGAGCUAAUACCGGAGGAUCUUUUGAACCGCGGGGUUCAAAGGUGAGAGACGGCCGUGGGGGCACGUAUCGAUGCAUACGCGCUGGAUUGGGUGGUUGGUAAGGUAACAGCUUACCAAGGCAACGAUGCAUGACCGAGCUGUGGGGGUGAUCGGCCACCCUGGAACUUGGCCACCGUCCAGACUCCUGCGGGAGGCAGCAGUCGGGAAUCUUCCGCAAUGGGCGAAAGCCUUACGCAGCGACGCCGCGUCAGUUGUGACGGUCCUCCGAUCGUAAAGCUCUGUUACUGGUUAAGAACAUAUUUGUCCGUAGAUGAGGCCAUCGUGACGGUACCGAAUCAGAAAGCCCCGGCUAACUACGUG
This 497-nucleotide ribosomal RNA is filed under the name uncultured bacterium. RNAcentral's name for it is "partial 16S ribosomal RNA". It matches the Rfam family "Bacterial small subunit ribosomal RNA", at positions 28 to 507 of the family's 1533-position model. The record is from RNAcentral.